RNAcentral lists this ribosomal RNA (1068 nucleotides) under Triticum aestivum (bread wheat). RNAcentral's name for it is "partial small subunit ribosomal RNA". The record is from RNAcentral. Lineage: Eukaryota; Viridiplantae; Streptophyta; Magnoliopsida; Poales; Poaceae.
AUGGGAGAAAUUGACAAUUGGAUGCCUCAAAUUGGCAAGAGGUUUAGAAAUCCGGAUGAAGCUUGGCUGUUUUGGGUUGCAUAUGGAGGCCGUGUUGGGUUUGAUGUGAGGAAGAGAAACAAGCAUGUAAGUAAGAUGGAUGGUCAAGUGACUUCAUGCACAUUUGUUUGCUCCAAUGAGGGUAUACGAAAGAAAGGGAUAACAAUGGAUCAUGAGCCAAAACGUGUUCGAGCUGAAACAAGGACAAAUUGCAAAGCUCGCAUGACUAUAUCAUUGGACCGAGUGCAAAGAAAUUACGAAGUCACAGAUAUUGUGUUGGAACACAAUCAUUGUCUUCAAUUGCCACAAACAUGUCACUUGAUGGCAUCACAAAGGAAGAUUUCCGAACUACAAGCUUUUGAAAUAGAAGCUGCCGAGGAUUCAGGAAUAAUGCCCCAAGCUGCACAUGAGUUUGCUUGUCGCCAAGUUGGUGGACCAUUGAACCUGGGCUACACUUGUCGUGAUCAAAAGAAUUAUUUGCGAACCAAGCGACAAAGAGAGUUGGCUUACGGUCAGGCUGGUAGUAUGUUGAAGUAUUUUCAUAACAAAAUGAUCGAAAACCCAUCUUUCCAAUAUGCUUUGCAGCUGGAUUGUGAGGAAGAUAUAGCCAACAUAUUUUGGGCUGAUGCUAAAAUGCUUCUUGACUAUGCACACUUUGGUGACGUUGUCACAUUUGAUACAACUUUUGGCACAAACAAAGAAUAUAGGCCAUUUGGUGUUUUUCUUGGGCCCAAUCAGUUUAGAGAAACCACCAUUUUUGGCGCGGCAUUGCUAUUUGAUGAAACAUUUGAGUCAUUUAAAGUUGCCCCGUCAAAAAAAAAGGGAGCAAAGCAGCAAAAGAAAAAUGAUGGUGGACAGCCUCAAGUGAGAGUGGAGAAGGAUGAUGGUGGACAGCGUCAAGUGAGAGUGGAGAAGGAUGAUGGCGAUAAAAGAGCAAAUGUGGAGCUUGAAGAGAGCAACACGGUUGUCAGUUACACGCAGCUCUUGAUGACUCCCCUUGGUGGUGUUUAUGAUGAAAAUCUGUUCUAA